CUUCAGUGUUCUUGGGAAAGGCUACUUAAUAAUUAGCCAACUACUAAUUUUCCCUUUAAUCUCUGUAAUUAUCUUUUUGUCACAGAGGCACGAGGUGAAAGCAAUACUAAGAGAAGGGGAAAUUAGCCAAUCAGAGUGAGGCGGAGAGGCGGGGCAGACACCGGAGCUAAAUGCCCCCCCCGGGGCCUGACGGAGGCGGUCAGGGAGCAGCGAUGUUCGGAGUCAUUGACAUUUCUGGCCCUGAGCCAACGUCUGCUGCCAAUCCUCCUCUUUUUGCUGAGGAAGACUGGCCCUGAGCUAACAUCCAUGCCCAUCUUCCUCUACUUUAUAUGUGGGACGCCUACCACAGCAUGGCGUGCCAAGUGGUGCCAUGUCCGCACCUGGGAUCCGAACCAGCGAACCCCAGGCCACCGAAGCAGAAUAUGCGAACUCAACCGCUGUGCUGCUGGGCUGCCCUGAGAGUUCUUAAUGAUGACCUUUUUUCCAUUGGGGUCUUUUUCUCGUGACAAGAAAUGUGCUCAGAAAAUCCUGCCAAUCAAGUUUCCAACCCUCAGUUCUGGUCCUUUCUCUUUUCCUCAUGAUGGUUUUACACUACAGAGCUGGGACCAGAUUUGUCACUAUCCCCUUCCCUCUUAGUAGUUCCAGCUUAGACUUGGCCGAAGAGGAAUUUGUGUGAGAUUUGGAAGGCAGGUGGGAAACAGCAACCAAUAGUCUCUGAAAAUUAUGAUAUUUUAAGUGCAGAGAAGACCGAUGCAGAGGUGCUGGCAGAUUCCAGCUUGUCCUCACUCUUCCCGGCUCUGUGACUGACUCUUCCUCCUGGCUGCCGGCCUUGCUGACCAGUGGCAACUGCAGGCUCACCCCCCAGAUGCAGAGGCAGCAGCUCCCCACGGACUUCUCUGCCAGCCUCCUGUGGUCCCUCCAGCCGGACGUGCCUGGCUUCCCAGGUUCCCUGCGAGCUCUGACUUGUCCUUCCAGUGCUUUGGCUGAUCUUCCAGUCCCUCCUUUUGAACCCCUCUUCCUCAGUUUCUCCUACAAUUGUGUACAGUCUUGUUCAUUUAACAAAUCCCUUGUUCUGUACUAUGCACAGGGGUUCGGCUUCCCUAGUCAAACUCUAUUACGGUUGUUGUAGGUGGUCUCCAGACCUGGCCUCAAGUGAGCCACCCUGAUAGUCACAUCUUUAUGGAGUCCCUCCCACAUUGAAUCUGGCUGGCCCUCCGGCUCUCUUGAAUCAACAGAAUGCAGUGGAAGUGACGCGUGACUCUUCUGGCCUUAAGAUUGUCCCUAAGAAGGUCUGGCGACUUCUGCUUUGGCACUUUUAGGAGCCCCAAGCCACCAUGUAAGAAGUCCAGCUACCCUGCUGGAGAGAAGAUGUGGAAAAGCCUGGAGACAGAGAAGUCCCAAGACCACGUGAGAGAGAAGCCCCACUGUCGCAGUGUCCCUCUGAGCCCAGCCUCCCAGCCAGCCCCACCAGAGGAGAUGAGAGGAGAUGCAGGUGGAGCCAUCUUGGAUAUUCCUGCCCCAGCUGACAUCCGACUGCAGAGAUCCCAAGUAAGAUUAGAAGAAACACUCACCAGCUGAGCCCCAGAUAACCCACAGAAGCAGGAAGAGUAAGAAAAUUGUUGUUUUUAAAUCCUUUCUAUGUUGACAUGAUUACAGACUUACAGAAAAGAUGUCAAAAUAGUACCAAAAAAAUCUCAUUUACCCGAACAUUGACCUCUCCCAACCCCCACCCCUGCCACUCUCAACUGUUUGAGAGUAAGACAUGAUACCUCUUUAUCCCCAUACUGUUUGGUGUAUAUCUCCCCAAAACAAGAAAAUUCUCUUAUAUAAACC
Molecule: long non-coding RNA, 1833 nt
Organism: Equus caballus (horse)
Lineage: Eukaryota; Metazoa; Chordata; Mammalia; Perissodactyla; Equidae
Source: Ensembl